Long non-coding RNA from Scleropages formosus (Asian bonytongue), 1663 nucleotides. Lineage: Eukaryota; Metazoa; Chordata; Actinopteri; Osteoglossiformes; Osteoglossidae. The record is from Ensembl.
AUGAAGCCACGAUGGGAUGCCAUCACACCACAACAAAGCAACUAUAACAUGACAACAGGUGGGACUCUUGCUCCACCUCUCCCCCACAACUAGACACCCUAUAGGCAAACACACGCAUACGUAAGGCUUUUUACAUACCUCCCAGCAACGCAUCCGUCACCAGCAUCGCACGGACCGGCACGGGUCCACACGUUGAAGGAGGCAGAGAAGGCGGCCCUAGACAAACAGGGAUUACAAUCGCUGCCGGUGAAGAAAGUGACGCGCACCUGCUGAGGGCCGGCUCUGGGCUCUCGCGGACGACAAAGACCUGGUCCAGGUGCUGCAACAGAGACAGGGAGGUAAGACUGGGCUUCAUCUAUACCGGGCAACUUUCUGUAUUGUCUUUCAGUGUUGAUGUGAUUGUGUAUGUUGUUCUCUACCACUCCGAAUAGUUGAGCCCAACAUUGUGCUACUUACUGAUAUUUAUUAAUACUAUUUAAAAAAGAAAAAGGAAAAAAAAAAAAGGUGAAAAAUGGUAAGUUUGCAGAAUAGAUUUGAUGUUUGAGUGCAACAAAGGGACAUGAUGGCAGCAAGCAGUCUUAAAAUGCACACAGUUCACAGCACAAACCCCACACUAAAGAGAACAUUAGCCAAAACAUAUUUCAAAUUAAUACAGUCCGUGCACCGCUUAAUCACAAGAGAGGGAUGCCUUGAAAAGGGAGAUUUACCUAAAAGUGUGUUGAGACAGGUUACGAAAUCAACCUAAUUUUAAAGUUUCAACACCACCUGCAAUUCCACACUAGAGCCAUGAGGGGACGCGAUCACACCACAACAAAGAAACUAAAACAUGCUCUGACAACAGGUGGGACUCUUGCUCCACCUCUCCCCCACAAGUAGACACCCCACAGGCGCACACAUGCACGCACAAACGCUUUUACACACCUCCCAGCAAUGCCUCCUUCACCAGCAUCGCACUGACCGGUACGGGACCACACAUGGAAGGAGGCAGAGAAGGCACGCCUGGACACACGGGGAUUACAAUCUCUUCUGGUGAACAAACCGACACGCACCUGGCGAGGGACAGCCCUGGGUUCUCGAGGACUACAAAAACCUCCAGGCGCUGCAGCAGAGACUGGGGGCAACGCAUCCGUCACCAGCAUCGCACGGACCGGCACGGGUCCACACGUUGAAGGAGGCAGAGAAGGCGGCCCUAGACAAACAGGGAUUACAAUCGCUGCCGGUGAAGAAAGUGACGCGCACCUGCUGAGGGCCGGCUCUGGGCUCUCGCGGACGACAAAGACCUGGUCCAGGUGCUGCAACAGAGACAGGGAGGUAAGACUGGGCUUCAUCUAUACCGGGCAACUUUCUGUAUUGUCUUUCAGUGUUGAUGUGAUUGUGUAUGUUGUUCUCUACCACUCCGAAUAGUUGAGCCCAACAUUGUGCUACUUACUGAUAUUUAUUAAUACUAUUUAAAAAAGAAAAAGGAAAAAAAAAAAGGUGAAAAAUGGUAAGUUUGCAGAAUAGAUUUGAUGUUUGAGUGCAACAAAGGGACAUGAUGGCAGCAAGCAGUCUUAAAAUGCACACAGUUCACAGCACAAACCCCACACUAAAGAGAACAUUAGCCAAAACAUAUUUCAAAUUAAUACAGUCCGUGCACCGCUUAAUCACAAGAGAGGGAUGCCUU